RNAcentral lists this ribosomal RNA (489 nucleotides) under uncultured bacterium. RNAcentral describes it as "bacterial SSU rRNA". It matches the Rfam family "Bacterial small subunit ribosomal RNA", at positions 8 to 518 of the family's 1533-position model. The record is from RNAcentral.
AGAGUUGAUUCUGGCUCAGGACGAACGCUGGCGGCGUGCUUCAUACAUGCAAGUCGAACGAGAAAUUACCUCGGGUAAUGGACAGUGGCGGACGGGUGAGUAAUGUGUAGAGAAUCUGCCCUUUAGUGGGGGAUAGCAGUUGGAAACGACUAUUAAUACCCCAUAUGCGCGUAGUUGAGAUACUAUUCGUGAAAGAUUAAUCGCUAAAGGAUGAGUCUGCAUCUGAUUAGCUAGUUGGGGGUGUAAUGGACCACCAAGGCGACGAUCAGUAGCUGGUUUGAGAGGAUGAUCAGCCACAAUGGGACUGAGACACGGCCCAUACUCCUACGGGAGGCAGCAGUAGGGAAUUUUGCGCAAUGGGCGAAAGCCUGACGCAGCAAACCGCCGCGUGAUCGUAGAAGACCUUCGGGUUGUAAAGAUCUGUCAGUGGGGACGAAAGCUGACUGUACCCACAGAGGAAGCACCGGCUAACUCCGUGCCAGCAGCAGC